CUUCAAAGGUAUCGAGGAC
This 19-nucleotide non-coding RNA is filed under the name Rattus norvegicus (Norway rat). The record is from RNAcentral. Lineage: Eukaryota; Metazoa; Chordata; Mammalia; Rodentia; Muridae.